UGCACUUCAGCCUGGGUGACAGAGUGAGGCUCCGUCUCAAAAAAAAAAAAAGGUUUGACAUGUACAGUUAUGCAGGUUGUGCUCUGAGCAAAAGCACUUGGCUGAGGGGUGAAAGGUACCGUUGCAUAAUAUGGAAAAGAAAAGAUACCAUCUCGAAGAUUGUUGUUUUUAAAUGUUUUUCCUGACAGCAACUAGACUAUAAGAAGAGCCAACUUUGUUACUAUUGGGUUUAAUAUAUGAAACGUACAAUUAAAGUAACUCACUCCACAUUGUGUUUUGGUAGAGAGACACUGAAUUCCAGGAGCAUGAAAAGAUUCUGUCUCCGGAUUUUCUUUCAGUUGCCCAAAUCACUGAUUUGUUAAUGGAGGACAUCGAUGGAGUUCAAGAGUAAGCACUUCACUAUUACAAUCACAUGUAGAAGAACAGUUCGAGUUCUGCAUCUGUAAAUGAUUGUGAUUACAUGUAUAAGCUUUUUUCACAAUAUUUGUUAUGAUAUUAUGCACUGAAAAAUAUCUAGACUUCAAAACACAAAAAUUCUCAAGUAACUGACUUUUGGCACUACUCAACAGUCUCCUUUAUAAAGAAAAUACAUUGCAAACCAACUUACUAAUAUUUACCAAGAGCAGAGGUUUGUUGAUAAAAGCAGGCUAUAGCAUAUGCUGUCUUCUUUUCUCUUUCAUUCAUAAAACUGUCAAUAUGCACAUUAACUUAAAGAAUGUUCUCCCUCGUUGUAAGAAGAGUAAGUUGUGUUUUCUGUAAUUAUAAUGGGCAAUGCAUUUUAUUAUUUUGGAAAUCUUGAGUAUUUGCCAUCCACCUGUGAUUCUCAUCAGAAAUAAUGCUAUACUAAGUACUCUGAUUGUGUACAUGUUACUUAAAAAUGUGAAUACAAUGGAAUUUAUAGGCAGUAAUUCCAAUAUAUGUACAUCUCACUCUUUAGGCCAUUUAUUUCUAUAGUAGAUCAUCUAUUUAGAAUUUUUGUCAGAUACAUCCAACAACAUAAUAUCCUAAAAGGUGUUUUUAGUAAUCACCCAUUUAAAAAAUCAUCCCACUUAGAAUGGAAGCCUAAUUGGCCAUCGUGUGUAGAGAGUGGGGAUGAUGUCAUGCACUAGCAUCUUGGUGUCAGUUCUCUGCAGGCCAGUCCUUGGGACACAAACAGGGUGUCGUGGACCAUAACAGAC
This 1178-nucleotide long non-coding RNA is filed under the name Homo sapiens (human). RNAcentral describes it as "HSALNT0163361". The record is from RNAcentral. Lineage: Eukaryota; Metazoa; Chordata; Mammalia; Primates; Hominidae.